Molecule: ribosomal RNA, 253 nt
Filed under: uncultured Acidobacteriota bacterium
Lineage: Bacteria; Pseudomonadati; Acidobacteriota
Description: uncultured Acidobacteria bacterium partial 16S ribosomal RNA
Rfam family: Bacterial small subunit ribosomal RNA
Source: RNAcentral
UACGGGGGGGGCUAGCGUUGUUCGGAAUUACUGGGCGUAAAGGGCGCGUAGGCGGCCGCCUCAGUCGAACGUGAAAUCCCUCGGCUCAACCGGGGAAUGGCGUCCGAUACUGGGUGGCUGGAAUCCGGGAGAGGGAUGCGGAAUUCCAGGUGUAGCGGUGAAAUGCGUAGAUAUCUGGAGGAACACCGGUGGCGAAGGCGGCAUCCUGGACCGGCAUUGACGCUGAGGCGCGAAAGCCAGGGGAGCAAACGGG